This is a non-coding RNA of Manis javanica (Malayan pangolin), 295 nucleotides long. The record is from RefSeq and is a predicted model, not a curated record. Lineage: Eukaryota; Metazoa; Chordata; Mammalia; Pholidota; Manidae.
AGCAGCGAAGCGCGCGACAGCGGCAGCGACGGCCCCGGCAGCGGCUCCCACAGCGGCGGCGGCCGGGGGCGGGAGGAAGGAGACCCUGGCUUCCCAGGGGGCCCGGCUGGGGCAGACGCGCGGGGCCUGGGGGGGCGCUGGCUUUGGGCCCGCCUGGGGCAGGAUGGUGAAUCUGCAGCCCAUGCACACAGGUAUCAAGAUGAGUGGAGAUGUAGCAGAUUCCUCGGAUGCACACAGCGCUCUCAGCCAGGUGGAGACAGGAAAUGAUCGAAAUGGCUUAGAUUUCAACAGGCAG